Cyprinus carpio carpio is the source of this 396-nucleotide long non-coding RNA. NCBI's taxonomy places the organism in Eukaryota, Metazoa, Chordata, Actinopteri, Cypriniformes, Cyprinidae. The record is from Ensembl.
CCAGGAGCAGGGUUGGAGAUCCCUGGCCUACAGUGUCUCUUCUCCUACAAGUAAAAUCAUUAAUGAUGGAGCAGCUCCUGAAGGCAUGGAGAGCAUGAAACCAAGGCAGUCGUGACAAGAAGAGGAAAGGUUUUUUCCCCCUGCAGACCACUCUCACCUGCAGCUCAUCACAAUUAUACAAGGUCGAGGGGAAAAAACUCUUAAACUGUUUGACCUGUAUCUUUGCUAAGGUCUAAAAUGUAACUGAAGCAAUGAUUGUGUUCUGUGGUAAAGGAGCCAAGAACAAGCAAGAAAAAAAGCAACUGAGAGAAAGUACAAAGACUUCUGAAAUACAUACCACAAACUGUACCCGCAAGAUAGAAGAGAUUUUCAUCUUUUUUUUUUUUAACCUACCAC